UGACACCGUGGUCUUAG
Molecule: small RNA, 17 nt
Filed under: Mycobacterium tuberculosis H37Rv
Lineage: Bacteria; Bacillati; Actinomycetota; Actinomycetes; Mycobacteriales; Mycobacteriaceae
Description: npcR 7386
Source: RNAcentral